Molecule: transfer RNA, 70 nt
Filed under: Loxodonta africana (African savanna elephant)
Lineage: Eukaryota; Metazoa; Chordata; Mammalia; Proboscidea; Elephantidae
Rfam family: tRNA
About the family: Transfer RNA (tRNA) molecules are approximately 80 nucleotides in length. Their secondary structure includes four short double-helical elements and three loops (D, anti-codon, and T loops).
Source: Rfam by way of RNAcentral
GCAGGGGUGGUUCAGUGUAGAAUUCUCGCUUUCCAUGUGGGAGAGCCGGAUUCAAUUCCUGGUCAAUGCA